RNAcentral lists this unclassified non-coding RNA (3014 nucleotides) under Leishmania donovani. Its description in RNAcentral is "gene:LdHU3.06.1410(CDS-product:hypothetical_prote in_conserved)". Lineage: Eukaryota; Euglenozoa; Kinetoplastea; Trypanosomatida; Trypanosomatidae. The record is from RNAcentral.
CCCGCAGCACACGUAGCGAAGCACACAGGGCACAGCCACAGCCACGAUGUUGGUCUCGGAGAAGGCACAGCCGCUGCGGCUUUUCAACUGUUUACUUCUACAUGCUCACAAAGACGACGAAUCCGACGAUGAGGCGUGCACCAUGCACAAGAGCGCCGCCUCUACCUCACCAGUCACCGACCCCAUCGCCGCCGCAACAGCAGUCGGUGCAACGCGUCUGUACUUCACUGAAGGCGGGCCGUCAGCCAGCCUGGCGGCGCUGCAGCGCUACCUUAAAGUUGAAGAGGCGCACAUCACAUGCCCGCUGCUGCGUGUCUUGCAACUAGCGCCGCAGGCGCCAACAGGCAACAUGCAGCCGCUAGUGUACGUUGAGCAGGAUACGCAGAAUGCCGUAUCGCUAUCCGACGAGACGCAAGGGCGCCGUGAGGCCGUCCUGACGACCUGCUCCGGGGUCUGCACGCAGGAGACGAUGCCGUCACGGUGGUAUCAUGCGCCCGUUAAGGCCGCCCUGUGCGUCUUCCAGGAGCUCAUGCGUGCACCCACUACGUCCGCGGCCAGCGAGCCGGCCUUCUGGGCGUUUUUAGAAAGAGUUGUGCUAUACCACGCGCGUGACUUCUACCGCGGCGCUGUUCAGGUGGAACUGCAGUGCGUUUUCGUGCCAACGUUUGAGGAUACGCAGAGCACGGCGUACAGCGUCGACGUCUUCGGUGACUACGUCGACGAGGAGGACCAGGCGCAGAAAUGUGGCGCCGCAGCUGGUAAGGGCAGGACGGCAAUGAAGGUUUGCGUGAAGAGCACCGAGGCCUUCGAGCACGUCAUGGCGUAUCUGAAGACACAGUGCCCGCUCCUCGAGGCCGACUUCGGGUCGUCCCACUUGGUGGUGUACGCCAAGUGGUCGUCGCGGCUAUCCGCUGCACGCGGCUCCAGCCAUUCGCAGCCACCGGCCGCAGAUGCCACCGGCGCAGUAGAACAGGCCGCAUGCUUCGUGUGGCUGCAAGAUGACGCAGAGGGCGCGGGGCGGGACGGUGUCUACGCGGAUGCCGCGCUUGAGGCCCUCCUCGACGAGCUCACCCUCGCCGCCGCGUCGAUCAGCACGCCAUCGAGGGCGGCCGCUGUUCUGCAGGAGGAAGGCGUCAGCGCCUUCUUCGAGGCGUGCUGCCUCACACACACGCUGAAGAGAGUGAUCCGCAAAAACUUUCAGGCGGUUGUGCGGCGGCAGCGGCCGCUGUUCCACUGGGUUAUCUCGCUGCCCCCGUACUCCCGGCUGAGCAUGUCCACCACAAGUGCUGCUGUCACUGCGAUGCGCUUCAGAAACAACGCUGCGGUGUCGCGGGCGGUGUGGAGCGUCACCGAGAUGCUUGUCCACUGGCAGCAGCUGUCCGACUCCGCGCACGCGCUAGCAAAUGAGGCGCUAAAGCGGAGUUUUGGCAGAGCGAGCGGGUCGUCUCGGCAGAUCGUGUCUGCCCCGGCGCGGGUCCCGCGCCAGCGCCGCGCCAUCCAGCAAAGUGCCCUCUACGGCGACACCUUCUCCGGUGGCUCUGCCCUUGACCGCCAGCGCGGCAAGGUCAACGUCCCUCACCUGUACGGGGCUGACGAGGGGCAUGGCGCGUCUAUCAGCCUCAGCUCCACUCAGCGGGGGUCGGUCCUGGCGGCAUCUGGGUUAUUCCACAAUCUGCGGAGCAUCAAGGAGGACUCCUUUAACAGCACAUCGGUGCUGGAUGCUGAGGAUGUGUUUGGUAGCUACCCUAAGCUCACAACGCGCGUUGUCAAGCGACUCGUCCAGAGCCAGACAAGUGUCCACGCGGCCCAGUGACGUUGCAAGAUUGGCUCGCGCGUGCGUCGCCUCAGCGCACGUGCUUGCAUGUGUUUGUGUACGCAUAUUACUGCUCGCUCCCUCGCUCUGUUCGCUGGAAGUACUUCGCUCUUUUUCAGCCAGCGAUCUCGUCAUCGAUCCCCACACACGCACACGCCAUGACGACGUGGCGGGGACACGCCUCUCCCUGCGCGGCAUCUCGGCGUCCAGCGCCGACGACGUGGGAGGGAGGGGGGAGCGCAGAGCGGUGUGGCGCUACGCAUGUCGGCCAUCAGAUCCUGGAUGGCGUUGCGUCGGAGCCACCCGCGGCCGCGGACACGUUUGUGGCACCCGUAUGACAGGCGAAGCGUCCGCGUGCCUCGAACCUGUCCCACCCACGCCCCGGCCUUCACAGCGCCCGCUGCUGGUGUGGCGGGGAGCCUGAGAGCCGCCCCUCCCCCCCCCCCCCGAGCGGGGAUGCGCCAAGGCGGCGGACCUGCGAGGCGGCGGUGCGGGCAGAGGUUGAGGCAGGGGCCGUGCGCCGAUGGCUGCGUCGGCGCAUUGCUGUGCCGCGUGUGUCUACGGCUGGCUGGCGCACGGUGCGACGGGGGCCUGUGACACGGCCGACGGGGAAGGGAGGAGUGAAGCUCGUGCUCUGCGGCUGAGACAUGGGCCACACGCUGGACGCGGCAACGGAUCCUUCGCUUACGUUGGCUUCUCUCCUGCUGUUUUGUUCACCAUUCCCCGUGAUGUACAUGUCCGAGGGAGAGAUGAGAAUGAGGGGGCUGGGCGGGGGUGCGCCACGCUGCACGUUGUCUUUUCCCCGAACUUCUCGUGUUUGGUUCCCCCGCCUCCCUUUCGCUCGCUCUCCUUUUGUUAGCUCAUAUAGUUUGCCUGCAAGUGAUGCCGGGUGGCUCUUGGUGCGCACGUCGCAUCAUCCCGUGCGAGGCAGAGGAGUGGAAAGAGGAGUGCUCGCCGCUCAUGAGGACUACUGCCGACUUUGCGUGCUACGAGCACUAGUACCAUUACCAUUUUUGCUUGCACGCAGUCCUCUCGUUCUCCGUGUCGCCUUGAUGGUGCGCUGCGGUGACUCUUCGCGGGUAUCCUUGUGUAGGCACGCCUGUGCGUUCCCGUCAAGAGGAUGUCGUCGGCGUCCGCGAAGAACGCAUCAAGCACCUGUACACUGCAUGCGCGCGCACGCACGCAUAUUCUCCCCAUAGCC